This 905-nucleotide ribosomal RNA is filed under the name Thelohanellus wangi. RNAcentral's name for it is "bacterial SSU rRNA". It matches the Rfam family "Eukaryotic small subunit ribosomal RNA", at positions 305 to 1099 of the family's 1831-position model. The record is from RNAcentral. Lineage: Eukaryota; Metazoa; Cnidaria; Myxozoa; Bivalvulida; Myxobolidae.
UUCUGCCCUAUCAACUUGUUGGUAAGGUAUUGGCUUACCAAGGUUGCAACGGGUAACGGGGAAUCAGGGUUCGAUUCCGGAGAGGGAGCCUGAGAAACGGCUACCACAUCCAAGGAAGGCAACAGGCGCGCAAAUUACCCAAUCUAGACAGUAGGAGGUGGUGAAGAGAAUUACUAGGUGGUGACACAAUGUGUUACCAGUUUGGAAUGAACGUAACUUAAGAAAUUCGAUGAGAAACAACUGGAGGGCAAGUCCUGGUGCCAGCAGCCGCGGUAAUUCCAGCUCCAGUAGUUUGCUUUAAAGUUGUUGCGUUUAAAACGCUCGUAGUUGGAUCACGCAGCAGUGCCCAGUAAUCGGCUUCCUGACUCUUGCCAAUGAAACCUACUUCGGUAGUCUUUCGGUAGCUGUCGGAAGCAGAUGCCUACGCUGGGCAUUGUUAGUUGCACGUGAGAUGAAUUGUUGGCCUUUAUUGAGCCGGUAUUCUCGUCUUGCGGAGUGUGCCUUGAAUAAAACAGAGUGCUUAAAGCAGGUUAUUGCCUGAAUGUUAUAGCAUGGAACGAACAAUCGUGUAUAUGUAUGCGCCCUUGAGUGGCAACGAGCCUUAGGUUUGUUGUCGGUCAGGAUGUAUACGGCACCCACCAAAAUAUGGCUGUUGGUUCCAUAUACGGUGAUGAUUAAAAGGAGCGGUUGGGGGCAUCGGUAUUUGGCCGCGAGAGGUGAAAUUCUUAGACCGGCCAAGGACUAACAAAUGCAAAGGCACUUGUCUAGACCGUUUCCAUUAAUCAAGAACGAAAGUGGGAGGUUCGAAGACGAUCAGAUACCGUCCUAGUUCCCACCGUAAACUAUGCCGACCUGGGAUCAGUCUAGAGAUGUUACAAGCUCCAGGUUGGGCCCUCCGUGAAACC